Molecule: ribosomal RNA, 440 nt
Filed under: uncultured bacterium
Lineage: Bacteria
Description: partial 16S ribosomal RNA
Rfam family: Bacterial small subunit ribosomal RNA
Source: RNAcentral
CCUACGGGAGGCAGCAGUGGGGAAUAUUGGUCAAUGGCCGAAACCCUGAUCCAGCGACGCCGCGUGAGUGAUGAAGGAUUUCGGGAUGUAAAGCCCUAUUAGCAGGGAAGAAAAUGACGGUACCUGACUAAGAAGCCCCGGCUAACUACGUGCCAGCAGCCGCGGUAAUACGUAGGGAGCAAGCGUUAUCCGGAUUUACUGGGCGUAAAGCGAGCGUAGAGGGGGUAGCAAGUCUGAUGUGAAAGGUCGGGGCCCAACCCCUGUACUGCAUUUGAAACUGUUUAACUGGAGUACAGGAGAGGUAAGCGGAAUUCCUGGUGUAGCGGUGAAAUGCGUAGAUAUCAGGAGGAACACCAGUGGCGAAGGCGGCGUACUGGACUGUAACUGACGUUGAGGCGCGAAAGCGUGGGUAGCAAACAGGAUUAGAUACCCGAGUAGUC